GUGGGGAAUUUUGGACAAUGGGCGCAAGCCUGAUCCAGCCAUGCCGCGUGCAGGAUGAAGGCCUUCGGGUUGUAAACUGCUUUUGUACGGAACGAAAAGACUCUGGUUAAUACCUGGGGUCCAUGACGGUACCGUAAGAAUAAGCACCGGCUAACUACGUGCCAGCAGCCGCGGUAAUACGUAGGGUGCGAGCGUUAAUCGGAAUUACUGGGCGUAAAGCGUGCGCAGGCGGUUAUGUAAGACAGAUGUGAAAUCCCCGGGCUCAACCUGGGAAGUGCAUUUGUGACUGCAGAGCUAGAGUACGGCAGAGGGGGAUGGAAUUCCGCGUGUAGCAGUGAAAUGCGUAGAUAUGCGGAGGAACACCGAUGGCGAAGGCAAUCCCCUGGGCCUGCACUGACGCUCAUGCACGAAAGCGUGGGGAGCAAACAGGAUUAGAAACCCGGGUAGUCC
Molecule: ribosomal RNA, 450 nt
Filed under: uncultured bacterium
Lineage: Bacteria
Description: partial 16S ribosomal RNA
Rfam family: Bacterial small subunit ribosomal RNA
Source: RNAcentral